RNAcentral lists this long non-coding RNA (413 nucleotides) under Hordeum vulgare. Its description in RNAcentral is "long non-coding RNA (HVUL_LNC005307)". Lineage: Eukaryota; Viridiplantae; Streptophyta; Magnoliopsida; Poales; Poaceae. The record is from RNAcentral.
UUAAGAACAAAAUAACCCGACUGUCAUUUGGGAAAGAAUCCCCGUUCCUUCUAACUCAACUGCUCACGGCGGUUCCAUCCUGAUGUGGAACGGACGCACCUCGCACGGAGCGUCGCCUCCCGUGGAACCGACAUUAGAACCAUCGCGUUAUAUAAACCUCGUUCAUCAAUCAAUAAAGUACACCCAUUCAUUCUCGUCGAUUCUUGUCUUUCGUUUUCGUUCUCUCGAUUCCACUUGCAACAGUAUGUUUGUUAUUGCGCUAUUUUUUGCCACUAAAAUACGUGGACGUAUAUCAUGUGACGUGGCGUGUCCACCUUGAUCACUUCCUGCUCGGAACAGUCGCACUGACCCAGAGCUCGGCACCGGCCCCUGCCUGCAUCACAACGACGAUCCCCUCCUCGGCGCACGGCGAG